Molecule: long non-coding RNA, 499 nt
Filed under: Parus major (Great Tit)
Lineage: Eukaryota; Metazoa; Chordata; Aves; Passeriformes; Paridae
Description: lncRNA (ENSPMJG00000011769.1)
Source: RNAcentral
GAGACAUCCUCAAUAUGUGUUCCUUGCAAAAGGAAACAGCUGCAUCCUGAUGUGAAGGAACCUGACUGGGACUGUCCACUUGGUCUUGUUGUAGCUCCAGCUACACAGUCUGCGAGCACAGGAGUGAGGGACAGGCUUUGAACCUUAGGAAUUCACACUCAGGAUACUCAUUGGAAGGUUUUGGAAUGCUUUGGAGAACAAGAUGUUCUGGGGUACAGCAGAGAAGCUCUUUGUCCUGAGUGCAGCAGUGAGCAGAGAGGGACUGAGUCAUGUGGACCAUGGGCAGGCUCCUGGGACCUGCUUGAAUCCUGAGCAUGGCAACCCUUUGAAACAAGUCCUUCAAAGAUCCUUCCUGCUCACAAUUCACCAGUGGAAAAAUGUUCUAAACCAGCUCUGGAUCAUUUGGUCAUCCCACAUAUAUGGUGGCUAAGGCUCCAGCUCCAAAUUCCUCAUCUCUCAAGGAUAAAAGUGUGAGAGCCAAAAGAAAGAUGAUCAUCAG